CAGCAGCCGCGGGAAUACGUAGGGUGCGAGCGUUAAUCGGAAUUACUGGGCGUAAAGCGUGCGCAGGCGGUUUUGUAAGACAGGCGUGAAAUCCCCGGGCUCAACCUGGGAAUGGCGCUUGUGACUGCAAAGCUAGAGUGCGGCAGAGGGGGAUGGAAUUCCGCGUGUAGCAGUGAAAUGCGUAGAUAUGCGGAGGAACACCGAUGGCGAAGGCAAUCCCCUGGGCCUGCACUGACGCUCAUGCACGAAAGCGUGGGGAGCAAACAGGAUUAGAGACCCCGGUUAGUCCCUGUCUCUUAUU
Molecule: ribosomal RNA, 301 nt
Filed under: uncultured bacterium
Lineage: Bacteria
Description: partial 16S ribosomal RNA
Rfam family: Bacterial small subunit ribosomal RNA
Source: RNAcentral